AGUGAACGCUGGCGGCAGGCCUAACACAUGCAAGUCGAACGGCAGCACAGUAAGAGCUUGCUCUUACGGGUGGCGAGUGGCGGACGGGUGAGGAAUACAUCGGAAUCUACUUUUUCGUGGGGGAUAACGUAGGGAAACUUACGCUAAUACCGCAUACGACCUACGGGUGAAAGCAGGGGAUCUUCGGACCUUGCGCGAUUGAAUGAGCCGAUGUCGGAUUAGCUAGUUGGCGGGGUAAAGGCCCACCAAGGCGACGAUCCGUAGCUGGUCUGAGAGGAUGAUCAGCCACACUAGAACUGAGACACGGUCCAGACUCCUACGGGAGGCAGCAGUGGGGAAUAUUGGACAAUGGGCGCAAGCCUGAUCCAGCCAUACCGCGUGGGUGAAGAAGGCCUUCGGGUUGUAAAGCCCUUUUGUUGGGAAAGAAAAGCAGCAGGUUAAUACCCCGCUGUUCUGACGGUACCCAAAGAAUAAGCACCGGCUAACUUCGUG
This 492-nucleotide ribosomal RNA is filed under the name uncultured bacterium. RNAcentral describes it as "partial 16S ribosomal RNA". It matches the Rfam family "Bacterial small subunit ribosomal RNA", at positions 29 to 507 of the family's 1533-position model. The record is from RNAcentral.